This 482-nucleotide ribosomal RNA is filed under the name uncultured bacterium. RNAcentral's name for it is "bacterial SSU rRNA". It matches the Rfam family "Bacterial small subunit ribosomal RNA", at positions 30 to 489 of the family's 1533-position model. The record is from RNAcentral.
AUUGAACGCUGGCGGCAGGCCUAACACAUGCAAGUCGAGCGGAAACGAGUUAUCUGAACCUUCGGGGAACGAUAACGGCGUCGAGCGGCGGACGGGUGAGUAAUGCCUAGGAAAUUGCCCAGAUGUGGGGGAUAACCAUUGGAAACGAUGGCUAAUACCGCAUAAUGCCUACGGGCCAAAGAGGGGGACCUUCGGGCCUCUCGCGUCAGGAUAUGCCUAGGUGGGAUUAGCUAGUUGGUGAGGUAAUGGCUCACCAAGGCGACGAUCCCUAGCUGGUCUGAGAGGAUGAUCAGCCACGCUGGAACUGAGACACGGUCCAGACUCCUACGGAAGGCAGCAGUGAGGAAUAUUGGACAAUGGGCGAAAGCCUGAUCCAGCAAUACCGCGUGAGUGAUGAAGGCUUUAGGGUUGUAAAGUACUUUCAGCAGUGAGGAAGGUGGUAGUGUUAAUAGCACUGUCAUUUGACGUUAGCUGCAGAAGAA